UGCCACAGCAAUAUCACCCUGCAGCCCAAGACCGGUUACUCACUGAAGCUAAGCAGGGCUGAGCCUGGUCAGUACCUGGAUGGGAGGCCACAUGGGAAAACUCGGUUGCUUUUGGAU
This 117-nucleotide ribosomal RNA is filed under the name Danio rerio (zebrafish). The record is from RNAcentral. Lineage: Eukaryota; Metazoa; Chordata; Actinopteri; Cypriniformes; Danionidae.